AGUUUUGAGCUAAAUAUAUUAUAAUAUUAGUUAUUUAUGGAAGGUAUUGUAAAAUCUUAUUAAAAAUUAUAUUUAGGGGUGAUAGGCCUUUCAAAAACUAAGAUAUCUUGAAUCUAAUUAAAAGUAUGUAGUACAUUUAACACAACUAUUAAGUGACUAGGCUUUAUAGAACUAUUAACUUAUAGAUAUUUUAUUUACUAUAAUUUAAUAAUUAAGUAUAUAAGUAUAUUAAUAUUCAUUUAUUAUAAUUUAUAAGGAGUAAUUAGAUAAAUUAAAGUUUAUAAAUUUUGUAAUAAUGUUAAUAUUAGUAUUAAGUUUAUAUUUAUAUGAUGAACUCGGCAAAAAUGCUUCUCAACUGUUUAUCAAAAACAUAACUAUGUGAAUAAAUACAUAGCGGUUUCUGCUCAAUGAUUAAUUAAAUAGCCGCAGUAUACUGACUGUGCAAAGGUAGCAUAAUCAAUUGACUUAUAAUUGAAGUCUGGAAUGAAUGAAAAUAAUGGGAAGCCACUAUAUUUUUUAAAUAUAUAUAAUUUAUUUAUGAAGUGAAAAUACUUCUAUAAAUAUAAUAGACGAGAAGACCCUAGAAAUUUUUAGUAAUUAAAAUUAUAUUUGAAAAAUUUUUUGUUGGGGCGACAGAGUAGCAUAUUAACCUACUUAAAAUAAACUUGCACCUUUUUUAUUGUUUGAAAAAUUUACUCUAGGGAUAACAGCAUAAUAUUUAAAAGUUUAUGACCUCGAUGUUGGACUAGGAAAUAAUAACUUAAAAGGUUUUUUAUAUUGCUCUGUUCGAGCAUUAACUCCUACAUGAUC
RNAcentral lists this ribosomal RNA (810 nucleotides) under Mandarina ponderosa. RNAcentral describes it as "partial 16S ribosomal RNA". The record is from RNAcentral. Lineage: Eukaryota; Metazoa; Mollusca; Gastropoda; Stylommatophora; Camaenidae.